GAGAAAAAAGAAGUAGAAAUUUCACAGAGCGCACACGAAAUGAGCGAUUUAAUGUGAUUGUUUCGGUCGAAGGGGACGUUUCCCGGGGCCUUAUGGGAAAAUAAUGUCCUUAUGAAUUAAAUAAUAGGGUUAUUACUUUCAUUGAUUUUAGCUGUCUGGGAAUUUAGCGCUGAGCUGCCGUUUAAAGCCAACCUCUCUCUCCCUCCCUCGCUCUCUCUCUCCAGUCCUCAGUCUAAUUAUUUUCCUAUAAGCCCUCCUGCUUCCUACAGCGCAAAUAGCAGAGUCACUGAGCGAAAAUUAUGUAAAUAUUAUUAAAGGGACUCAGGCAGGGAAAUUCAUUUUAGGUCCACGCAGCAGCAGCAGCAGCAGCAGCAACAACAGCAGCAGCAGCAGAGUAAAGCUCGGUCCCUCGGAUCCGCCUCAAUUUAUUUGCAAAUAAAGGCGCGGUGACCGGGAGGGAUCAGGGAUAUUUAGCCGGGCUGUCAACACGGGGGCUCCCGAGCACCGGCUCCACAGAAUUAAUGGUUUUAAUAAUUGGGAUUUCACUUUCCAGGGAAUCGGUGGCGUUUACACUUCAAAAACACGCGCUCUUUUUACUGCCGUGGACCUGAAAAGUGAACAUAAACACACCUGUUUAGGAAACCGGGGCUCGGGCUCCGCUGAGCAGUCCUUAUAUGGGCUGAAUACGGAGGCCGGAAGUUGUCAAAAAAAGGUCAAAGGCCGUUCUAGGGAAACGAUGGUUUGAAUACAGGGGCGGCUCUAACUAUUUCAGUUCCCCAGACUGAGAGUUGGUGCCAUCUUUAAUUAAAUGACACGAAAACUGACGACAUAAUUAAAUAGUUAUUAAUUAACAACUAAUCCAACAACUACAAAAUUAAAUUGGUUUUUACCAAAACGUGUUAUUUGUGCUUCAUGUAUUUAUUUAUAUUUGAUUUUCUUUUGUUUAUUGUUCGUAAAUUAAACAAAGAUGUGCAGUGACCAGCAGGCCCAAAAAAAUUGCCCUACCAAAUGGUGGCGCUGUGGCCCUGGACCUUAACUCUGCUCAAUGAAACAUUCCUUUGGUCACUGAGGAUAGAAAACAGGAAAAGAAAAAAGAAAUCAAAUCAAAUCAAAGGAGCUGCUUCUACAGAGGUGGUCGGGACUAAAGCCUGAAGGUGGAGGCGGCCAAGGCCUCGGCACGCCUCCGGGGAUUGAUCACACGUUCUGAUUAAAAAAUAGACCAGA
Molecule: long non-coding RNA, 1224 nt
Organism: Cynoglossus semilaevis (tongue sole)
Lineage: Eukaryota; Metazoa; Chordata; Actinopteri; Pleuronectiformes; Cynoglossidae
Exons: 2
Source: RefSeq, a predicted model, not a curated record